ACAAAACCUUAGGGGUGGCCGUAACCGGCCUGAGAUGUCCGCCAGGAUGAACCCUUUGAACCUGAUCCGGUUAGUGCCGGCGUAGGGAUAGGUGCUCCUCUGCUA
RNAcentral lists this non-coding RNA (105 nucleotides) under Gammaproteobacteria bacterium. RNAcentral describes it as "TPP sequence". It matches the Rfam family "TPP riboswitch aptamer (THI element)". From Rfam's summary of the family: Vitamin B(1) in its active form thiamin pyrophosphate (TPP) is an essential coenzyme that is synthesised by coupling of pyrimidine and thiazole moieties in bacteria. The previously detected thiamin-regulatory element, thi box was extended, resulting in a new, highly conserved RNA secondary structure, the THI element, which is widely distributed in eubacteria and also occurs in some archaea. The record is from RNAcentral. Lineage: Bacteria; Pseudomonadati; Pseudomonadota; Gammaproteobacteria.